UUUUUUAUUUGUGAGAAAUUGAAAGCCCCUAAAUUGCUUUCAGCAAAGUAAACAAAACUUGGAAAAAAAUAUAUGCUCAUUCACCAACAGUUUCUAAUCUGGGGUCUAAAGUGCUCAGGCUUGCUAGUGUAUUUGGUUAUUUGUCUAUCCUAGCCUGUUGCAGUGUAUAUUUCCUGUGUAUUUUGCAUGUUAAAUGUUUUGUUAUGUCAUUGCUUAAUAUUAUCAUGUAGUCUUCAUGAACUUUUUUAACCCGACUUAAUGGCUUUCUUCAUCUUGGCCAGGGACUGCAUUUUAAAAGUAGCCACUUGACUAAAAUUGGCACAUUUUCAGAAAUGCCAGCAACAAUACUGAUAAUGAACACCCCUCUAACUGACUCUCAGUUGGUUUAGAAAAAAUACUUUUAAGAGAAAAGAAAGCCUUCCUUUGGUUUUGCAUUUUUCUCUUUUUUGUUAGCUGUGCACAACAUAUCAGAAGGAUUACUUAACACGCACAAUGAUGAUUGCAUAUGUUCACAGUAAAUUUUUGAAAAAGUUUUUAUUUAAAAAAAUAUACAAGAAAAAAUCUAUCAAGGCAAAAGAAAGACAAGAAACCUUUGGAAAGUUCUCAAAGGGGAUUCCUCUCUAACCCCUUUAAAUGCAUCUAGACAUUGGCUGUGAUUUCAUUUCAUUUAAAAUAUAAAUAAUAUUUUAUACUUUAUAGACCGGGAGCCCAGAGAGGUCAGCCUAGCUGAAAAGCGAAGCUUUGGGAAGGUCAAGGGAUAGCAUCAUGAUACAUGUUUCUACUUCCUGCAGGGACAUAGGAAUAGGGGUCAUUCUAUGGCCUUAUUUUGGAAAUAGCUAAGUGAUUUCUUGUAAAAAGGGAUUGAAAUUUAACAAAUCCUCAUACUUAACAGGAAGCAGAGUACACUUGUCUAACCUAGCUGUUAACCCAUAUGAUUGUGUUUACCCGUUAAGAUCCUGAUGAGGGGGCGGGCUAGUUUCAUUCAGUUCGGAUAUCUAUAUCAGCUGAUCUAGCUCAAAUUUUGGUGUGUCUGUCAGGGUAACCCACCACAGGAACUGUCUGGCAAUGUUCAUUCAUGAUACCUAGGCUGAUACUGAACAAAUUCCAGCUAGUUUCAUUCAGUUCGGAUGUAAGCUGAUUUAGCUCAGUUUUGGGUGUGGUCUUUUUGGGCAUGUCUGGCAGGGGUAACCCACCACAGGAACUGUCUAGCAAUGUUCAUUCAUGAUACCUAGGCUGAUACUGAACAAAUUCCAGCUAGUUUCAUUCAGUUCGGAUGUAAGCUGAUUUAGCUCAGUUUUGGGUGUGGUCUUUUUGGGCAUGUCUGGCAGGGGUAACCCACCACAGAAACUGUCUGGCAAUGUUCAUUCAUGAUACCUAGGCUGAUACUGAACAAAUUCCAGCUAGUUUCAUUCAGUUCGGAUGUAAGCUGAUUUAGCUCAGUUUUGGGUGUGGUCUUUUUGGGCAUGUCUGGCAGGGGUAACCCACCACAGAAACUGUCUGGCAAUGUUCAUUCAUGAUACCUGGGUUGAUACUGAACAAGUUCCAACUAGUUUCAUUUGGUUCGGAUAUCAGCUGAUCUAGCUCAAUCUUUGCAGGGUAGUUACAUAACUCUGCCAAGGGUACCCCACCACUAAAAAUGUCUGGCGGUGCCUGUUUAUAAGUCCUGAUUGUAUAAGGUACAUUGAAGCACCAUUUUCAAGAAGUACAUUUUUGAGCUGACCUAGCUCAAUAAUUUGAAUUAAUUUCCACACCCCUCACAGCCACACCCACCACCACGGACCCGGCAGACAUCCAUUCUGAUGAACUGUCAUAUGCCUCCAGCAAAAUUACACUAAGGGAAAUUGGUUCGCUUUUCAGCUAGGCUGACCCCUCUGGGCUCCCGGUCUAUUAUUGCUUCACAGAUACAACAUUGUGAUAUUUGGAGGAGUGGAUGGUUUUUCAAGAAAGGUACCUGACUUAGUAAUAUCUUAGUAAUUUCACAUGCUGUGCACUGGCUAUAUAAACGUUGUGUACUCUGUAAAAACAUUUAGAAGCUUUAGUAAUAAUCAUCAAUUUCAGCCCACUAAUAACUUUGUAGUACAUUUUGUCUUUCUGUACUUUAACUGGACAUUUUCAUGUUGUUAUGCCCCAAGCUAACAGGAAAGCAACAGUAGAGGGCUGCACAACAUGAGGAGGCAGAGGCUAAUUAUGUCAAAGGACUGAAAAGGAGGGCAAAUUUAGCAAUAACAUACAAAUAAUCAACCAGCUACCCUCUUUCUUUGACCACUGUUCUCUUGUUACACACAUACACCUUUGAUGCCUUUUAAUUGCUUUAAACUUUACUUUUGUAGAUAUUGUACUUGAAUGUGGCCACAAACACCUGUGCAUCAACUGCAUUUCAGUUCUUCCUGGAUGCAACGCAGCGACAUGGCUUACCCUCAAGGAUUUGGCAGACGCCCUUAGCCAGAGCGACUUACAUACAAUAUAACUUCUUUGAGGGUAGUGUUGAUGUAUCUAAGAGGUUACAGAGCCCGUGAUUUCAGGGUAAGAGCUGACCAGGGAGUGGAGAAUGUGGACAUCGCCCGGUUUAUGUUCACUGUCCGUGGCAAUGAUCAGAACAGCUUCAUCUCAGGAAAAAGUGUGCACAACCAAAGGCUGGAACCACCAUUCACUACGUACUGAGGGAAACUGGAGUCCAGCACAGAUCUGGGAGAUUGCACAAAUGCUAAACACUAAUGUCCAUUCUGAGAACCUUGCAAACCUACAAGAGCCAGACAUCGACUGGGAGACUGUUAUUGACUAUGAUGGCCUUGACUCAGAAACGGGCGUUGUAGUGCCUGAAUAUGAGUGCCCUCUGACUGAGGAGAUGAAUGAAGUUCAAACUUUGGUUGAUCCUACUGACCGAAACAUUACUGAUGAACAUUUACAUUUACAGUAUUUGGCAGACACCCUUAGCCAGAGCGACUUACAUAAGUGCUUUGAGACUCUGCGAUGAAUUUCCGAUGCUAGCUCAAUAAGGUCCCAAGCUACGAAUACCAUCUCUCUGAAAACGACGUUGAGUAGUGCAGAAUUUUUUAUUUAUUUAUUUUAAAAAAAAAAAACACACACCAGAAAAA
Long non-coding RNA from Brienomyrus brachyistius, 3095 nucleotides. RefSeq lists it as uncharacterized. Lineage: Eukaryota; Metazoa; Chordata; Actinopteri; Osteoglossiformes; Mormyridae. The record is from RefSeq and is a predicted model, not a curated record. The transcript is spliced from 4 exons.